GAUGAAGAACGCAGCGAAAUGCGAUAAAUAAUGUGAAUUGCAGAAUUCCGUGAAUCAUCGAAUCUUUGAACGCACAUUGCGCCCGCCAGUAUUCUGGCGGGCAUGCCUGUUCGAGCGUCAUUUCAACCAUCAAGCCCCCGGCUUGUGUUGGGGACCUGCGGCUGCCGCAGGCCCUGAAAAGCAGUGGCGGGCUCGCUGUCACACCGAGCGUAGUAGCAUACAUCUCGCUCUGGGCGUGCUGCGGGUUCCGGCCGUUAAACCACCUUCAUAACCCAAGGUUGACCUCGGAUCAGGUAGGAAGACCCGCUGAACUUAAGCAUAUCAAUAAGCGGAGGA
RNAcentral lists this unclassified non-coding RNA (336 nucleotides) under soil metagenome. Its description in RNAcentral is "partial contains 5.8S ribosomal RNA, internal transcribed spacer 2, and large subunit ribosomal RNA". The stretch from base 1 to 120 matches the Rfam family "5.8S ribosomal RNA", at positions 35 to 154 of the family's 154-position model. The record is from RNAcentral.